GCUUCAUUCAAAUAUCUGCCCUAUCAACUUUCGAUGGUAGGAUAGUGGCCUACCAUGGUUUUAACGGGUAACGGGGAAUAAGGGUUCGAUUCCGGAGAGGGAGCCUGAGAAACGGCUACCACAUCCAAGGAAGGCAGCAGGCGCGCAAAUUACCCAAUCCCGACCGGGGAGGUAGUGACAAUAAAUAACAAUAUAGGGCUCUUUUGGGUCUUAUAAUUGGAAUGAGUACAAUUUAAACCCCUUAACGAGGAACAAUUGGAGGGCAAGUCUGGUGCCAGCAGCCGCGGUAAUUCCAGCUCCAAUAGCGUAUAUUAAAGUUGUUGCAGGUAAAAAGCUCGUAGUUG
Molecule: ribosomal RNA, 344 nt
Filed under: uncultured fungus
Lineage: Eukaryota; Fungi
Description: SSU rRNA
Rfam family: Eukaryotic small subunit ribosomal RNA
Source: RNAcentral